ACUCCUACGGGAGGCAGCAGUGGGGAAUAUUGCACAAUGGGGAAACCCUGAUGCAGCCAUGCCGCGUGUGUGAAGAAGGCCUUCGGUUGUAAAGCACUUCAGUAGGGAGGAAGGUAGUGUAGUUAACACCUGCAUUAUUUGACGUUACCUACAGAAGAAGCACCGGCUAACUCCGUGCCAGCAGCCGCGGUAAUACGGAGGGGUGCGAGCGUUAAUCGGAAUUACUGGGCGUAAAGCGCAUGCAGGCGGCCUGUUAAGUCAGAUGUGAAAGCCCGGGGGCUUAACCUCGGAAUUGCAUUUGAAACUGGCAGGCUAGAGUCUUGUAGAGGGGGUAGAAUUUCAGGUGUAGCGGUGAAAUGCGUAGAGAUCUGAAGGAAUACCAGUGGCGAAGGCGGCCCCCUGGACAAAGACUGACGCUCAGAUGCGAAAGCGUGGGGAGCAAACAGGAUUAGAUACCCUGGUAGACUGUCA
This 471-nucleotide ribosomal RNA is filed under the name uncultured bacterium. Its description in RNAcentral is "bacterial SSU rRNA". It matches the Rfam family "Bacterial small subunit ribosomal RNA", at positions 335 to 802 of the family's 1533-position model. The record is from RNAcentral.